GCUAUCCUCUCACUUCCUGCUAAAUCAAUUAGCCACAGUUUGCUUCUUGUGCAUUCCCCAUUUAGCAAAUUCCCCCCCUUUACCAUUCAUUACACAAAGUAUGCUACACACACACACACAUAAAAGAUGUCUCUGAUUAGUAAUUGAGGACAUAAUAUGUAAACAAAUGAAAACCUUCCAUAAAUUAUGAUGCACAAACCAAUGUGAUCGGCUGCUGUGCUCAUUUGCAUUGGUGGAUCCAACUGCCCUCGCGUUGCUACCAGUUUGUAAGGUUUCCCAAACCUCGGUCAUAUUAUUCACGUGGGCCUCAACUAGUCCAGGAUUGCUACCAGUUUGUAAGGCUUCCCAAACCUCAGUCAUAUUAUUCACGUGGGCCUCAACUAGUCCUGGAACAUGAUGCAUUCCUUCUCCAACUUGCUUUAUUUCAAGC
Molecule: long non-coding RNA, 430 nt
Filed under: Nicotiana benthamiana
Lineage: Eukaryota; Viridiplantae; Streptophyta; Magnoliopsida; Solanales; Solanaceae
Description: long non-coding RNA (NBEN_LNC026269)
Source: RNAcentral